GAUGGUAGGCCCAUCGGUAUCGGUUGUCAGGAACAGGUAUCAAACUACUUCAAACUGCUUUUGUUAAGAGCAGGGGUGGUGAGCGUUGAAGAAAAGCUGGGAACACUCAGCAGGU
Molecule: non-coding RNA, 115 nt
Organism: Legionella drancourtii LLAP12
Lineage: Bacteria; Pseudomonadati; Pseudomonadota; Gammaproteobacteria; Legionellales; Legionellaceae
Source: Rfam